AGGCCUGUCGCAAUGGGAUUGUCACGUCGACGACGGCGCUGGUGAAUGGGCAGGCUAUUGACCAUGCGGUGCAGUUGAGUCGUGAUGAACCGAGUCUGGCCAUAGGGAUGCACUUUGUCCUUACUAUGGGUAAGCCACUGACAGCUAUGCCGGGGUUAACCCGCGAUGGUGUGCUGGGAAAAUGGAUCUGGCAGUUGGCAGAAGAAGAUGCUUUACCGCUGGAAGAAAUUACUCAGGAGCUUGUCAGUCAGUAUUUGCGUUUCAUUGAGCUAUUUGGACGCAAACCUACGCAUCUUGAUAGCCAUCAUCAUGUGCAUAUGUUCCCGCAGAUUUUCCCGAUUGUUGCCAGGUUUGCGGCAGAGCAGGGCAUUGCGUUGCGGGCGGAUCGUCAGAUGGCGUUUGAUUUGCCGGUCAACCUGCGCACUACCCAGGGAUUCAGCAGUGCAUUCUACGGUGAAGAGAUCAGUGAGUCGCUGUUCCUGCAAGUGCUGGAUGACGCAGGCCAUCGGGGUGAUCGUUCGCUGGAGGUGAUGUGUCAUCCGGCGUUUAUCGAUAAUACUAUCCGUCAGAGUGCUUACUGUUUCCCACGCUUAACGGAGCUGGAUGUGUUGACAUCAGCGUCGUUGAAAGGUGCUAUCGCUCAGCGUGGUUAUCGGUUGGGGAGUUAUCGGGAUGUGUAAGUGAGGAUGUUUGCCAGAUGCGGCGUGAACCUUGCAUCCGGCGAUUAAUUCCUACAAAGGCGGCGUAACUGCGCCGCUUGAGACUGCUGACAAACGCAAAACUGCCUGAUGCGCUUCGCUUAUCAGGCC
This 809-nucleotide ribosomal RNA is filed under the name uncultured bacterium. RNAcentral's name for it is "partial 16S ribosomal RNA". The record is from RNAcentral.